UUAAGGCUAAGCUGCCUAUGCCUGCAAAACCAAUUUUUCAAGACAUCCUAGCCACGCAUCAGCUUUAUGUCCAAGCUGCUAGCUGUAUUCCCAGCUAAUUAUGAUUUCAAACCCAUUCAUUUCAAAAGCAAAACAAACCAUCCUUAGCCUCAUUUCAAAACAAAUGUAAGCAUAUCCAACAAAGCAAACCUCAUUCCAAAACAAAAAAAGAAAACUCAGUUUCAAUAAAUCUACCUAAACAAAAUUUAUUUUUAAUCCUAAAACAAACUUCAUAUAAUGUAUCCUUUCAUUUUAAUAGUGAAAUAUAAACAAGGAUAGAGAAUAGAACAACAAAAAUGAGAGUGAUACACACCGAAAAGAAGAAGGCGGUAGCAAUGCGCGGUUGAUGGUGGUUAGCGACGAUUAUCGGCGGAAGUGAAGUUAAAACAGGAACAGAUGUAUCAAUAGGCAUGGCUUGUGCAUCAAUGGCAGUCAGCAUCAACAUAGCAGAGUUUGACAGUGAACAAAGUCAACAUAGCAUGGCUUGAUCUGAUUUAAUUUUUAUUGUAAUUUAUUUUUGGCUUUAUUCUUAGUUUGUAAUUUGAUUUGGUUUUAAAAACUCUAAUUAGAUAAAAUUGUAAAUUUAUGAUACAUAAUAAAAAUAUUUAUUGUAAUUAUUUUUAUUUUCUUUUUUAAAUACAUAUUUUCUUUUUUA
Long non-coding RNA from Cicer arietinum (chickpea), 694 nucleotides. RefSeq lists it as uncharacterized. Lineage: Eukaryota; Viridiplantae; Streptophyta; Magnoliopsida; Fabales; Fabaceae. The record is from RefSeq and is a predicted model, not a curated record.